AGCAGCCGCGGUAAUUCCAGCUCCAAUAGCGUAUAUUAAAGUUGCUGCAGUUAAAAAGCUCGUAGUUGAAUUUCGGGACUAAUAUGUCGGUCGUGCCUCGGUACGUACUGGUUUAUUGGUUUCUCCUUUCUGAAGAACCAUGAUGUCAUUUAUUUGGUGUCGUGGGGAAUCAGGACUGUUACUUUGAAAAAAUUAGAGUGUUUAAAGCAGGCUCACGCUUGAAUACAUUAGCAUGGAAUAAUGAAAUAGGACGUUUGAUUCUAUUUUGUUGGUUUCUAGGAUCGACGUAAUGAUUAAUAGGGAUAGUUGGGGGCAUUAGUAUUCAAUUGUCAGAGGUGAAAUUCUUGGAUUUAUUGAAGACUAACUACUGCGAAAGCAUUUGCCAAGGAUGUUUUCAUUAAUCAAGAACGAAAGUUAGGGGAUCGAAGACGAUCAGAUACCGUCGUAGUCUUAACCAUAAACUAUGCCGACUAGGGAUCGGAUGAUGUUAAUUUUUUAAUGACUC
RNAcentral lists this ribosomal RNA (505 nucleotides) under uncultured Glomeromycotina. RNAcentral describes it as "SSU rRNA". It matches the Rfam family "Eukaryotic small subunit ribosomal RNA", at positions 569 to 1077 of the family's 1831-position model. The record is from RNAcentral. Lineage: Eukaryota; Fungi; Glomeromycota.